RNAcentral lists this ribosomal RNA (623 nucleotides) under uncultured bacterium. RNAcentral describes it as "bacterial SSU rRNA". It matches the Rfam family "Bacterial small subunit ribosomal RNA", at positions 56 to 726 of the family's 1533-position model. The record is from RNAcentral.
UGCAGUCGAGCGCACUCUUCGGAGUGAGCGGCGGACGGGUUAGUAACGCGUGGGAACGUACCCAGAUCUACGGAAUAGCCUCGGGAAACUGAGAGUAAUACCGUAUACGCCCUUCGGGGGAAAGAUUUAUCGGAUUUGGAUCGGCCCGCGUUAGAUUAGAUAGUUGGUGAGGUAACGGCUCACCAAGUCUACGAUCUAUAGCUGGUUUUAGAGGAUGAUCAGCAACACUGGGACUGAGACACGGCCCAGACUCCUACGGGAGGCAGCAGUGGGGAAUCUUGGACAAUGGGCGCAAGCCUGAUCCAGCCAUGCCGCGUGAGUGAUGAAGGCCUUAGGGUCGUAAAGCUCUUUCGCCAGAGAUGAUAAUGACAGUAUCUGGUAAAGAAACCCCGGCUAACUCCGUGCCAGCAGCCGCGGUAAUACGGAGGGGGUUAGCGUUGUUCGGAAUUACUGGGCGUAAAGCGCACGUAGGCGGAUCAGAAAGUUGGGGGUGAAAUCCCAGGGCUCAACCCUGGAACUGCCUCCAAAACUCCUGGUCUUGAGUUCGAGAGAGGUGAGUGGAAUUCCGAGUGUAGAGGUGAAAUUCGUAGAUAUUCGGAGGAACACCAGUGGCGAAGGCGGCU